UCUUUUUGAAUAAAUCUAAAAAAAUGAUUUUUACUUAUAUAUGAGGUCGGAGGGAAUAAAAAUAAAAGAUAAAAUUAAUGUUGAUAAGAUAAUUUUUUACACUUUUAAUGUAUUAAAUGAACAAUUUCUAAGAUAAAAUUUUUUCUUAUUAAUAUGUUUAACUAGUAUUCCGUUACACCGUUUAGCAUUUUUCUAAUAACAAUAACAACCCAAUUUUUUAUCACACCUCACAAGAUAAGGAUAUUGGCACAAUGUCGGUGGACAAUCAGCAGCUUUCUUACAUUUAGGAAUAACCGCUGUAAUGAACAAAGAGAAAAACAAAUGUUAUUAAAAUGAGAUAAAAUAGUUUGCACAAAGUACAUAAGGGAAUUGAAAAUGACAUAAAAAUGGCUUACGCUUAGCGGCCGCUUCAACAUCCGUCGCUUCAACAAUAAAUAGGGACAAGAAGAUAAUCAUAACAUAAACAAACUUGACAAUAUUAACCAUAUUUCCUGCCAUUUUCAUAUUUUAGAUAGAAUCGGUUUUAUCACUUUGUGAUUUAUAAAUUUGAUGCUCUCCUUACAUCAAUUAUAUAUAGUUUUUAGCACUUAUAUAGAGUUAUACAAA
RNAcentral lists this long non-coding RNA (606 nucleotides) under Trifolium pratense (red clover). Its description in RNAcentral is "long non-coding RNA (TPRA_LNC000941)". The record is from RNAcentral. Lineage: Eukaryota; Viridiplantae; Streptophyta; Magnoliopsida; Fabales; Fabaceae.